AUUAGGGUGGCAGAGCCCGGCUCAUUGCAAAAGAUCUAAGUCCUUUGGACAGAGGUUCAAAUCCUCUCCUUAAUA
RNAcentral lists this transfer RNA (75 nucleotides) under Spicara maena (blotched picarel). RNAcentral describes it as "tRNA-Leu(UUR)". It matches the Rfam family "tRNA". Rfam says of the family: Transfer RNA (tRNA) molecules are approximately 80 nucleotides in length. Lineage: Eukaryota; Metazoa; Chordata; Actinopteri; Spariformes; Centracanthidae. The record is from RNAcentral.